GGACUGAAGCGAGUGUGGAAGACGGGGUUUUCCUUUUUUGCUCAAUUGAAAAACAUUCUCUUCCUCUUCCUUCAUUGAUAGUACAGGGAUACCAGGACUCAUCCGGAUCCUGGAUCCACUCAGUUGCCUCACAGUAAAUCUCGCCCUGGUCUGAAUGCUGCAGCUGGAAGAUGGUCAGCUGGAACCAGGAGAUGGACAGGUGCGUGUGCUGGGAAGUUCGCUUCGACACGUCACAGGACAGACUGAGGGACUCUCCUGCAGCUCU
Polyodon spathula (Mississippi paddlefish) is the source of this 265-nucleotide long non-coding RNA. RefSeq lists it as uncharacterized. Lineage: Eukaryota; Metazoa; Chordata; Actinopteri; Acipenseriformes; Polyodontidae. The transcript is spliced from 3 exons. The record is from RefSeq and is a predicted model, not a curated record.